Long non-coding RNA from Anguilla rostrata (American eel), 526 nucleotides. RefSeq lists it as uncharacterized. The transcript has 3 exons. Lineage: Eukaryota; Metazoa; Chordata; Actinopteri; Anguilliformes; Anguillidae. The record is from RefSeq and is a predicted model, not a curated record.
CCAAAUCAGCCCCACUCCUCUGGAGUGCCAUCUAAUUUUGGUCCUGAUCUCUGUCACAUUAAAGCGCAUCUUACCAUUAAAUUAUAUCGCAAACGUUACUCGCAUAUAAACUGCGGGUUAAGGAUGGGCGAGAUCUGGACGCCCGACAACACUCGCCGACCAUUUAUCGGCAAUACUAGGCCUUGUCGUCAUUUUUAUGAGCGCGAUUACGAGGACGAAGUCCUAACCGCUAUUCCACGCUGAUAACGAAGACGUAUUUAGGGGCUCUGGUGACUCCCCCUUCCGACUGCAGCCCCCCAGAGCCCAGUCAAAAGCUGUGCAACUUUUGAAGAUAAGAGGGGGAACAGAGAGACUGACAGGCUGAGCCGUAGUCACAGCGAGGGGAAACGAGGUGUGGAGAGCAUCUAAUCACUGAUUGACGUCGAACGCAUUCAUAUAUCAUAUCGCAGUUAGUAUCAUUGUUAUCAGCACUUGGAGAAUCGUAGCGAUUAACAGAAGCAUUAUUGUUAUAAUAAAUGAAUUUUGU